Molecule: ribosomal RNA, 471 nt
Filed under: Triticum aestivum (bread wheat)
Lineage: Eukaryota; Viridiplantae; Streptophyta; Magnoliopsida; Poales; Poaceae
Description: partial small subunit ribosomal RNA
Source: RNAcentral
AUGGGUGGUGGUUUAUCGCUCGUUCAGCUGACGGCGAAUUACCGAUGCAAGUCGAAGAAGGAUUGGCCGGUGCUGCCGGCUGGUGUCAAGUUCGAUCCCACGGAUCAGGAGCUGAUCGAGCACCUUGAGGCCAAAGUGAGUGCUGACAGCGCGAGAUUUCAGUCUCUCAUCGAUUUGUUCAUACCAACCAUCGACAGCGAGCACGACAUAUGCUACACCCAACCUAAGAAACUUCCAGACCUGUCGGGGUGCGGCAUGCACGCGAUGUGGCACAAGACCGGCAAUACCUUGCCGGUGAUGGUCAACGGCCGGCAGACGGGCAACACAAAAGGUUCUGGUGCUGCACACCAACAAGAACUUCGACCAGUAGAGGACCAACUGGGUGAUGCACCAGUACCACCUCGGGGACCUGGAGCAAGAGAAGGAGCGGGAGCUGGUCCUCUGCAAGAUUUUCUACCAGACGAACACUAG